CUGAUUAUAUUAAAGAGCCGCAGUAUUCUGACUGUGCGAAGGUAGCAUAAUAAAUUGUCUUUUAAAUGGAGGCUUGAAUGAAAGGUUGGACAAAGUAUCAUCUGUUUCUUAAAUAUUUAUUGAAUUUGACUUUCAAGUGAAAAGGCUUGAAUAAAUUAAAAAGACGAUAAGACCCUAUAAAUCUUUACAAUAAACAUGUUCUAUAUUUUAAUUUAUAAGUGUAUAAAAUAUUAAAUUUGUAUUUGUUUCGCUGGGGCGGCGUGGAUAUAUUAAUAAACUGUCUAUGUGUUAAAUCCAAUAAUUAUUGAUUAGUGAGAUUGAUCCUUAAAUAGAUUAAAAGAUUAAGAUACUUUAGGGAUAACAGCGUUAUUUUUUUUGAGAGUUCUUAUCGAAGAAAAAGUUUGCGACCUCGAUGUUGAAUUAAAGUAUCUUUAUGGUGCAGCCGCUAUAAGAGAGAGUCUGUUCGACUUUUAAUACUUUACAUGAUCUGA
Molecule: ribosomal RNA, 491 nt
Filed under: Pagurus bernhardus (common hermit crab)
Lineage: Eukaryota; Metazoa; Arthropoda; Malacostraca; Decapoda; Paguridae
Description: partial 16S ribosomal RNA
Rfam family: Bacterial large subunit ribosomal RNA
Source: RNAcentral